GAACCAGAAGAUAAGUUCUGAGUUCAUAUCUUCUCCCUCCGUAUAUUUCUUUCCCUCCGGAAACCUAACUACCCGAAGAAGAAGAAGAAGGUAUCGAGAAAACCUAAGAGGAGAUCGGAGAAGAAGAAGAUAUCAAAUUAAAGUUUACUUGAAGUGAUGUCUAUUCCAAGCAAAAAUUGGAUGGGUGCAGAACGACAGUCAGCUGAAUUUCGGGAAGGAGUUCAAUCAUUUAUCAGGAAAAUUAGGAGAGGCGGAAGUUCAACACCAGUAAGCGUCUCAAUAAUGGCUCGUGAUAAAAUUUAUCAUUACUUGAUUUUGAGUGGAAUUUUUU
Papaver somniferum (opium poppy) is the source of this 331-nucleotide long non-coding RNA. RefSeq lists it as uncharacterized. The record is from RefSeq and is a predicted model, not a curated record. Lineage: Eukaryota; Viridiplantae; Streptophyta; Magnoliopsida; Ranunculales; Papaveraceae. The transcript has 4 exons.